AAUUCACCGCGAAGUGGCGAAUAAUUCGCCACGAAUAUUUUGUGAGCGUCACAUCUGUAUGGUUGCAUGUCAACAAUAGAAAAUCUUGAAAUCUUUGUAAUGGACGACGAGUCGGUUAUAAACUGGACUUGGUAUAACCACCAACUGCAGUGGUUAUUGUAUAUGUACAAUAUGUACAAUAAGCAAAUUAUUAUUAUAUUGUACAGAAAAGAAAAGCUGCUGCAGUUGCAGCUACACUUUUACAUUUGAGAAAAAGUGAAAAAAAAAGAUAUUGUAAAAAGAAAUAUUGGAUAGCACCCAUUUUUCAAGAAAGAAAAGUGCAUGGAUUCUUUCAUGCUGUGCUACCUAAACUCGUUUUAGAAGAUUUGAGAUUUAAUAAUUACAUACGCACGUCUGCAACUCAAUUUGAAAAGUUAACAUUCUUAGUUGGAGCAGACAUAUUCGCUCCUUGCGAAUAUUCGCUACAAGCUGAAACUUUUCAGCGAACAGCGAUUACUCGCUAGCGAACAGCGAAUGAUCACGUGACCAUCAUUCGCGGCGAUUAUUUCGCUGCAUGAAACGGCACCUUCAUGGUAUACCAUGGAAACACUGCUAGAUAUCACCACGGCCUCAUGUUAAAAUCGAGGUAGUAGUACGACUCGACGGCAAAACGUUCGCAACUCUAUUUUCAUCAAUUUUCAAUAAAUAGUAUUGUUCAACGACGAGAUGGACUUUCGAAUACAACUCAACAGCGACUCGAGAAAACUUAUUAUAUAAUAUAUAAUUAUAAAUAUUAUAACAAUAUUAGAAAGCUUAUGAAAUAUAAAAGUGAUUAAAAUGUUCAAUAAAUGAAACAAAUGUUUCAUUAGUACGAAAAAUUAGUAUUAAAA
Long non-coding RNA from Ooceraea biroi (clonal raider ant), 869 nucleotides. RefSeq lists it as uncharacterized. The record is from RefSeq and is a predicted model, not a curated record. NCBI's taxonomy places the organism in Eukaryota, Metazoa, Arthropoda, Insecta, Hymenoptera, Formicidae.